UAGGCAGGGAGACAGAUAACCCAAAUCCCUUAUCAAUGACCUGAGUCACCCAGAAAAUGUCAAAGUUCCAUAAUAUCAAGGAGGCUCUUGCUCCAGUUGCUCUCUUCCCUCUAGCUUCAUAGGCUGCUGGCUCCAGAUGCAUCAACGGGAAGUGUAGCUACCACCUCAGACGCAGUCCACAGAGUCACAGAGACCCCAGCCUGGCCCAACAUAGUUGAGCUGCUGAACUAAUACCAGCAGUCCUGUUGAUGGAGGAAAGUAACCUCUUGUUCAUCCAAGCCACUGUUACCGGACAGUGUGGUUACUUGCAGCCAGAAGCAUUUGUACCUGGUAGUUCCAUCUGACAGACCUUAAGCAAAAAGAUACAGCGUACAAUCAGCAAAGGGAAAUGGCACACAGGGGUCAAGUCCAGAGGAGACGAGGCACAAGCCCCAAGGUAUCUUUCAGCAAAGCCUCACAGGACACCCUUAAUUCCCUCAGAUGACUGAUCAUGGAUGUUGUUAUACAUGACUUGGGGGAUUUUCUCCUUGCGAAAUUCUGAAGUAACAGAGUUGACAUUCUGUUUUAAAUUGAUCUUCAUGAUUUUCUUGACUUACAAUCUAAGGAGAAAUUAAAG
Molecule: long non-coding RNA, 616 nt
Organism: Bos taurus (domestic cattle)
Lineage: Eukaryota; Metazoa; Chordata; Mammalia; Artiodactyla; Bovidae
Source: Ensembl